AUACUCUGGUUUCUCUUCAGAUCGUAUAAAUCUUUCGCCUUUUACUAAAGAUUUCCGUGGAGAGGAACAGGCACGAGUGUCAAUGAAUUUUUUGAGGCUCUACUUCGGUAGAGCU
Molecule: small nuclear RNA, 115 nt
Organism: Malurus cyaneus samueli
Lineage: Eukaryota; Metazoa; Chordata; Aves; Passeriformes; Maluridae
Gene: U5
Rfam family: U5 spliceosomal RNA
About the family: U5 RNA is a component of both types of known spliceosome. The precise function of this molecule is unknown, though it is known that the 5' loop is required for splice site selection and p220 binding, and that both the 3' stem-loop and the Sm site are important for Sm protein binding and cap methylation.
Source: Ensembl